CCCUUAGAUGUUCUGGGCCGCACGCGCGCUACACUGACGAUGGCAACGAGUUUUUCCUUCGCCGAAAGGUGUGGGUAAUCUUUUGAAACAUCGUCGUGCUGGGGAUAGAUCAUUGCAAUUUUUGAUCUUGAACGAGGAAUUCCUAGUAAGGGCGAGUCAUCAGCUCGCGUUGAUUACGUCCCUGCCCUUUGUACACACCGCCCGUCGCUACUACCGAUUGAAUGGUUUAGUGAGGACUCCUGAUUGGCGCCGCCGCCCCGGCAACGGAGCAGCGGACUGCCGAAAAGUUGUUCAAACUUGAUCAUUUAGAGGAAGUAAAAGUCGUAACA
Molecule: ribosomal RNA, 329 nt
Filed under: uncultured eukaryote
Lineage: Eukaryota
Description: partial 18S ribosomal RNA
Rfam family: Eukaryotic small subunit ribosomal RNA
Source: RNAcentral